Molecule: ribosomal RNA, 522 nt
Filed under: uncultured bacterium
Lineage: Bacteria
Description: partial 16S ribosomal RNA
Rfam family: Bacterial small subunit ribosomal RNA
Source: RNAcentral
GACGAACGCUGGCGGCGUGCCUAAUACAUGCAAGUCGAACGCAAAACUUUCACCGAAUGCUUGCAUUCACGAAAGUUUUGAGUGGCGAACGGGUGAGUAACACGUGGGUAACCUGCCCAGAAGAGGGGGAUAACACUUGGAAACAGGUGCUAAUACCGCAUAGUAACAAAAACCGCAUGGUUUUUGUUUGAAAGAUGGUUUUGCUAUCACUUCUGGAUGGACCCGCGGCGUAUUAGCUAGUUGGUAAGGUAAAGGCUUACCAAGGCAAUGAUGCGUAACCGAACUGAGAGGUUGAUCGGCCACAUUGGGACUGAGACACGGCCCAAACUCCUACGGGAGGCAGCAGUAGGGAAUCUUCCACAAUGGACGAAAGUCUGAUGGAGCAACGCCGCGUGAGUGAAGAAGGUUUUCGGAUCGUAAAACUCUGUUGUUAGAGAAGAACGUGUGUGAGAGUAACUGCUCAUGCAGUGACGGUAUCUAACCAGAAAGCCACGGCUAACUACGUGCCAGCCGCCGCGGUAA